AAUAAUUCAGACCACCUGAAACCUCCUUGGUCGGUGAAAUCGACGGAUUUAUUGGCCGGAGAUGGUCUGGAUGAUGGUGUUGUGCCAUGGGUCGGCCAGGUGCUGCUGCAGGUUCUCGAACGGCCCCUUCCCGGUCACGUUGUGCUGCACCAGGAACCCCAGGAACGCCAGCAUGGCCAGUCUCCCUGAACGAAUGAACGCGCGCGCGAAUACAGAUUAACGAGAGCCGUCGGAUUAGAAACCCGAGGGUUCAGAUGAGACUGAAGAGAGGAUGGACGUACCGUUGGCGAGCUCCUUCUCCUUGUUCUCGAGGGUGGGGGCGAAGUUGAGGGGGUUGAAGACGCUGCCGGGGUAGCCGCACUCGUGGGGCGGGAGGCUGUAGCUCUUGAAGAUGGGGUCCUGGUUGACGGAGCCCGGGUUCUUGAUGUCCUGCCACCGCCGGAUCUCGACGUAGUGGAAGAGGAUGAACUCGAUGACGAAGAGCGUGGAGGAGGAGGCGAAGUAGGUCUCCUUGCCGGCGUCGUACCACUCGGGCGCGUUCAGCAGCCCCGCCUUGGUCAGCACCUCCGGGAUCAGCAUCCCCGCCACCCCCAGCAUCGCCCACCGCCCGUUCACCAGCUCCGCCUGCACGAACCACCGCAGGUCCUCCGGGUCCUCCGCCAGCGCCAGCGGGUCAAAACCAUUGUCACCCGCCAGACUGCACACGUAUCGUCCGUCAGUACGGUCGUAAACAUAUGUAACAGCUGCGUGCAUGGGCACGACGGAAGUGGUGUGGCGUGUCGUGUGGUCUGCUCACCUGCCGUCGAGGUAGGCAGGGGACUGGAGGCCGGGGAGCCAGGACCCCUUGGCCUGGACGGCGACGUCGCGGCGGGUGGACUUGGCGAGCCCGACGCGGCCGGAGUCGCCCAGGAACCGGGGGCUCGACGCUGACGCCGCCGGCCGGAGAGCGGCCACGGGAGCGCGGGCACUGACCGACGACAUCUUCUGCUACUCCUGACUAGAGAGCGCGUACGGCAGGAGAGUGAGAGUGCGCGCGUGUGUGUGUGGUGGUUCUGCCUCUCCGCACCUGCGCUUGGCCCUUUGUAUUGGGCUGCGCUUCGGUGAUUUGUGGGUGUGGUGAGCUGGGCCCCGGAGGUCGAGAUGGACGGCGUGUGUUGGCGCCACCGCGUCGUCCGACGGCUGCGAUGCGUUUGCGCCUGGAGACUGGAUAGAUGGACCAGUGGGAGACCGGGAGGCGUAUGUGCGUUAUCUGGAUGAUGGAUAAUGCGGAAUCAAAAGGGGGAUCGCUAUUGGUCGGGGAAACGCACGUUCGGUUUACCUGGCUGCCACGUCGAUCGGACGAUCCGUCAUGAUGUACAGCUGUACAUGGUGCCAUGGCGGGUUGGUCUGUUUGCUUCAACUUUCGAGCUCUUCCACGGGAAACCGGCUUUCGCCCUAGAAAUGGCACGGAUGGUCGAACGGAUACAAGGUGAUGGAAAGAACCCCAUAGAAGGCGGUCGCGGCGAGCCGUCACGAUCCCGUAAUCGAACAAGAAAAUAAGAGUCGCCACACCUAACAUGAGGCGACCUAGACUAUUGAAUCGGAACUCAACCGUGCCGCCUAGGAAAAUCAUAGACCAUUAUGCAUAAAACACAUCAAGUUAUCGCCGGAGAAAGUAAGUGUCGAUCCAAUCCGUGGAGUUCCAAUCCUGCGAGCAGAUAGCGAGGACCAAUGACAUUGACUACGAGGACACGUGUAAAUGAUAGGGGAUCAACGGAUCCACUCCACGACGAAGCCGAAGGCACCGAUGUGCUGUAACUGGAUGAUAUUUGUGUUCCCCGACAAUGCCCCGAGGAGGGUAAUGAUGUAGAGCGUUGAUACGUCUCCAACGUAUUUAUGGUGUUUUUAUUGUGUCAUGCUAUUAUAUUAUCAAUUUCGGAUGCUUUAUAUGCUAUUUUAUAUCAUUUUUAAGAACUAACCUAUUAACCGAGUGUCCAGUGUCAGUUCCUAUUUUUUGCGUGUUUUGACUUCUCAGAAAAUCAAUAACAAACGAAGUUCAAACAUGAUGAAACUUUAUGAUGAUUCUUUCUGGACCAAAAAGGGACCCCUAGAAGGUUCGGGAGGAGGCCAGAAGACGUAGGGAGAGCCACAAGCUCACAGGGUGCGCCCCCCCCCCCCCGGGGGNNNNNNNNNNNNNNNNNNNNNNNNNNNNNNNNNNNNNNNNNNNNNNNNNNNNNNNNNNNNNNNNNNNNNNNNNNNNNNNNNNNNNNNNNNNNNNNNNNNNGACGUCUAACUUGUUUUUGCAGGGUAUGAUUGUGAUGUGAUAUGGCCAAUGAUGUGAUGUGAUAUAUUGGAUGUAUGAGAUGAUCAUGUUGUAAUAGAAAUAUCGACUUGCACGUCGAUGGUACGGCAACCGGCAGGAGCCAUAGGGUUGUCUUUAUACUAACGUUUGUGCUUGCAGAUGCGUUUACUAUUUUGCUAGGAUGUAGCUUUAGUAGUAAUAGCAUAAGUAGCACGACAACCCCGAUGUCAACAUGUUGAUGGAUGAUCAUGGUGUGGCGCCGGUGACAAGAAGAUCGUGCCGGUGCUUUGGUGAUGGAGAUCAAGNNNNNNNNNNCUUGCAGAUGCGUUUACUAUAUUGCUAGGACGUAGCUUUAGUAGUAAUAGCAUGCGUAGCACGACAACCCCGAUGGCGACACGUUGAUGGAGAUCAUGAUGAUGGAGAUCAUGGUGUGACGCCGGUGACAAGAAGAUCGUGCCGGUGCUUUGGUGAUGGAGAUCAAGAAGCACGUGAUGAUGGCCAUAUCAUGUCACUUAUGAAUUGCAUGUGAUGUUAAUCCUUUUUGCACCUUAUCUUUCUUAGAACGACGGUAGCAUUAUGAGGUGAUCUCUCACUAAAAUUUCAAGACGAAAUUGUGUUCUCCCCGACUGUGCACCGUUGCGACAGUUCUUCGUUUCGAGACACCAGGUGAUGAUCGGGUGUGAUAGACUCAACGUUCACAUACAACGGGUGCAANNNNNNNNNNUGAAAUUGUGUUCUCCCCGACUGUGCACCGUUGCUACAGUUCGUCAUUUCGAGACACCACGUGAUGAUCGGUGUGAUAGACUCAACGUUCACAUACGACGGGUGCAAAACAGUUGCGCACGCGGAACACUCGGGUUAAGCUUGACGAGCCUAGCAUGUGCAGACAUGGCCUCGGAACACAUGAGACCGAAAGGUCGAUCAUGAAUCAUAUAGAUGAUGUGAUUAGCAUAGGGAUGCUUACCACUGAAACUAUACUCAACUCACGUGAUGAUCGGACUUGAGAUAGUGUAGGUGGAUCAUGAACCACUCAAAUGACUAGAGAGAUGUAAUUUUUGAGUGGGAGUUUAGCAGAUAAUUUGAUUAAGUUGAACUCUAAUUAUCUUCAACAUAGUCUAAGUCCACUUUGAAUAUAUUUGUGUUGUAGAUCAUGGCUGACGCAAGUGUCAUCCUGAAUUUUAAUACGUUCCUAGAGAAAGCUAAGUUGAAAGAUGAUGGAAGCAACUUUGUAGACUGGGCUCGUAAUCUUAAGCUAAUCUUACAAGCUGGGAAGAAGGAUUAUGUCCUUGAUGCUGCGCUAGGAGAUGAACCACCCGCUACGGCUGAUCAGGAUGUUAAGAACGCUUGGUUAGCGCGUAAGGAGGACUACUCAAUAGUUCAAUGUGCAGUCUUGUAUGGCUUAGAACCGGGACUUCAACGUCGCUUUGAGCGUCAUGGAGCAUUUGAGAUGUUCCAGGUGUUGAAGUUUAUCUUUCAGAAGAACGCCUGGAUCGAGAGGUAUGAGACCUCCGAUAAAUUCUAUGCUUGCAAGAUGGAGGAAAACUCGUCUGUCAGUGAACAUGUGCUCAAAAUGUCUGGGUACUCAAACCGUCUAGCUGAGCAGGGGAUUGAACUCCCGCAAGAGGCUAUCACUGACAGAAUCCUUCAAUCACUGCCACCAAGCUACAAAGGCUUUGUGUUGAACUACAACAUGCAAGGGAUGAACAAGUCACCCGGCGAGUUGUUUGCGAUGUUGAAAGUCGCAGAGUCUGAACUCCGUAAAGAGCAUCAAGUGUUGAUGGUGAAUAAGACCACUAGUUUCAAGAGAAACGGCAAAGGCAAGAAGGGUAAUUCAAAGAAGAGACUUGCCGGUAAACGAGAUUGAAAUAGGUAUGCGGAUACUGACGAUCGAAUCUCGGGCAAGUAACAUACCGAAGGACAAAGGGAAUGACAUACGGGAUUAUANNNNNNNNNNNNNNNNNNNNNNNNNNNNNNNNNNNNNNNNNNNNNNNNNNNNNNNNNNNNNNNNNNNNNNNNNNNNNNNNNNNNNNNNNNNNNNNNNNNNUGUGUGUGUGUGUGUGUGCACACUUGUGAUAGUGCAAGUGAUGUGUGUAUGUGUUUAUGUGGCUUAGUUGAAAAGUGGCUCAUGUGAUCUUGCUAGUGUGUUUGGGUGUGUAGUACUUGCAAAGUAUGUGCAUUGUGGAAUAGGUGAGAUGUGUGUGUUGAGGUGAUGUGUGUGUAAGUAGUGCACACAUAUGUGGUACCUAGCAGGAGUGUAUGUAUGUGUGGAUCCAUGUUUACUUGCAUAGCAGUUGUUCCUUCAUGUUGUGCUUGAGAUUAAGUGCUUGUGAUGAGGGUAUUGUGAUGAUAUGUGUGUGGUGAUAACAGCCCCAUUUUCAACACUUGUGCACCUCCUCAUGUUCAUAUGAGAGAGGACAUGAUGUGUGUGUGUGUGAGGGUGAUCUAGUGAAAGUUGUGCUAGUGGUGUUGANNNNNNNNNNGCAACACUUGUGCACCUCCUCAUGUUGAUAUGAGAGAGGGCAUGAUGUGUGUGUGUGAGGGUGAUCUAGUGAAAGUUGUGCUAGUGGUGUUGAUAUGCAUAACACAUACAUGGGGUUCAAACCCCCAUGUCACUUUUUCAUUGUGCACAUGAGCUCAACCUUUGUAGUUGUUGACUUAGUAGGAACUACAUGAAAUGAUGCCCAUUCCCUAGGCAUGAUUUGGAGUAGUUUCCUCUCCCUUAUUUUGUGGUCACUUGUUCCAAGUAAGUGCCCACAUAUUAUAUAUGAUUUUGGGGUAGAAUCUCCCAAGGAAUCCAGUGGUGAAGUUAGUUUUUCCAUUACGAUACUUUAUGGAGUUGACAUAUUCAGAUUUGUUGCAAGUUUGAUCUUUGAUUCCAUGGAAUAGGUGGAGCCCAAGGGCANNNNNNNNNNGCCAUUAGGAUAAUUUCUGGAGUUGACAUAUUCAGAUUUAUUGCAAGUUUGAUCUUUGAUUCCAUGGAAUAGGUGGAGCCCAAGGGCAUGAGUUUUUGUGUGAUAGUAGUAGGGUUUUGCUCUACACCAUAGUGGUGUCAUAUAUCACUUGGUGUUACUUGUGUGCAAACUAUGCCUAGACAAAGUGGGCAUGUGGUUGAAAAUUCCAGUUUAGUGAAAUCUGGAAUUUCACUAAGUCUGGGAUUCUGGAAACAUUUUCUUCUCUUAUAGAUGAGGAUGUGCUGGUCAUUGUGUUGAGAUCUAGCCUUAGUUCAGUGCUAGGAUUUUGGACCUGAUAUGUUUUUUAAGUUCCCUGUCAAAUUUCAAAUCAUUUGGAGUCUAGUAGGUUGUGUUUUGAUUGCUGUCAAAAAGCUUCAGAACAAAGACAGNNNNNNNNNNAUAGCCUUAGUUCAGUGCUAGGAUUUUGGACCUGAUAUGUUUGUGAUGCUUCCUGUCAAAUUUCAAAUCAUUUCGAGUCCAGUAGGUUGUGUUUUGAUUGCUGUCAAAAAGCUUCAGAACAAAGACAGAAAUUCAGGUGCAGGAAUUUUCACCAAGUCCCUGAGAUCUGAUGGUUUUGGGGAAGUUUGUGGCCUUGUAUAUUAAUUCCUUUUGCUGUGAUUCUUGCUGGUGCUUGUAGGGUUCUUAGUGGGCUACAGCCACAUAUAUUAUUUGACAUAUUUGGUGGCCUGUAGCUAUGUUGCAUGUAGCUCACAAAGUGCUAAGAUGCAGUUUAUGGCAGAUUAUGUAGUUUUGUCAUUUCUAUGAUUGUGUGUGCUUAGUGGAUGUGGUGGUGCUCUUACUUGCUCCAAUCCAUUCAUGUGGGAGUGGUACAUGUCUUGGCAACCUGNNNNNNNNNNUAUGCAGUUUAUGGCAGAUUAUGUAGUUUUGUCAUUUUGAUGAUUGUGUGUGCUUAGUGGAUGUGGUGGUGCUCUUCCUUGCUCCAAUCCAUUCAUGUGGGAGUGGUACAUGUCUUGGCAACCUGGGAAUACCAGAUUUGUGCCAAUUGUGAGUGUGGUGUUGAUUCUUACACGUAGAGCUUCAUAUCUUGUUUCGUUGAUUCCCGUUGAACCGUAGCUCCGUUCGCAAUGUUCUUUAUAUGUUUUUGCAUAGUUUUCACGAGACGCAUCUCUUCAUGCCAUUCUCAUGCAUGUAAAAAUAUCCUAGUUUACAGUUCUGUCCAGAAACUUAUAGUAGUUCUUUUGCUUGUGCUAGUGAUAGAAAUAGUGAUGCAUGCUCAUUUUUCANNNNNNNNNNACAAUGUUCUUUAUAUGUUUUUGCAUCGUUUUCACGAGACGCAUCUCUUCAUGCCAUUCUCAUGCAUGUCGAAAUAGCCUAGUGUAAAGUUCUGUCCAGAAACUUAUAGUAGUUCCUUUUGCUUGUGCUAGUGAUAGAAAUAGUGAUGCAUGCUCAUUUUUCAUCUCAUGCAUCAUGUGAUUGUUGCAUCUUGUNNNNNNNNNNNNNNNNNNNNNNNNNNNNNNNNNNNNNNNNNNNNNNNNNNNNNNNNNNNNNNNNNNNNNNNNNNNNNNNNNNNNNNNNNNNNNNNNNNNNGAACAACAUUCGGUAACCAACCAUAUAACUCAAAUACGCAUAAAACAAUGUCGAACCUUAAGUGUGCAGACCCUACGGGUUCAGGAACUAUGUAGACAUCACCCGAGAGACUCCUCGGUCAAUAUCCAAUAGCGGGACCUGGAUGCCCAUAUUGGAUCCUACAUAUUCUACGAAGAUUUUAUCGUUUGAACAUCAGUGCCAAGGAUUCAUAUAAUCCCGUAUGUCAUUCCCUUUGUCCUUCGGUAUGUUACUUGCCCGAGAUUCGAUCAUCAGUAUCCGCAUACCUAUUUCAAUCUCAUUUGCCGGCAAGUCUCUUUACUCGUUCCGUAAUACAAGAUCCGCAACUUACACUAAGUCACAUUACUUGCAAGGCUUGUGUAUGAUGUUGUAUUACCGAGUGGGCCCCGAGAUACCUCUCCGUCACACGGAGUGACAAAUCCCAGUCUCGAUCCAUACUAACUCAACUAACACCUUCGGAGAUACCUGUAGAGCAUCUUUAUAGUCACCCAGUUACNNNNNNNNNNNNNNNNNNNNNNNNNNNNNNNNNNNNNNNNNNNNNNNNNNNNNNNNNNNNNNNNNNNNNNNNNNNNNNNNNNNNNNNNNNNNNNNNNNNNGUAGACCGAUAAUUUCUGCAUCUACUACUAUUACUCCACACGUCGACCGCUAUCCAGCAUGCAUCUAGUGUUUUGAGUUCAUGACGAACAGAGUAACGCCUUAAGAAAGAUGACAUGAUGUAGAGGGAUAAUCUCAAACCAAUGAUGAAAACCCCAUCUUUUUACCCUUGAUGGCAACAACACGAUACGUGCCUCGCUACCCCUUCUAUCACUUGGUGAGGUCACCGCACGGUAUGAACCCAAAACCAAGCAAUUCUCCCAUUGCAAGAAUCAUAGAUCUAGUUGGCCAAACAAAACCCACAACUCGAAGUGAAUUACAAGGAUAUGCAAUCAUGCAUAAGAGAGAUCAGAAGAAACUCAAAUAAGAUUCAUAGAUAAUCUGAUCAUAAAUCCACAAUUCAUCGGAUCUCGACAAACACACCGCAAAAGAAGAUUACAUCGGAUAGAUCUCCAUGAAGAUCAUGGAGAACUUUGUAUUGAAGAUCCAAGAGAGAGAAGAAGCCAUCUAGCUACUAGCUAUGGACCCGUAGGUCUGUGGUGAACUACUCACGCAUCAUCGGAGAGGUCAUGGUGUUGAUGAAGAAGCCCUCCGUAUCCGAAUCCCCCCUCGGUAGGGCACCAGAAUGUGCCCCAGAUGGGAUCUUGCGGAGACAGAAGCUUGCGGCGGCGGAAAAGUACUUUUGAUGAUCUCCUGAUUUUUUCUGGGAUUUUAGGUAAUUUAUAGGCGAAAGACCUAGGGAAGAGGUGGCCCAGGGAGCCCACAAGCCUGGGAGGCGCGGGCCCCCCUGGCCGCGGCUAGGGGGCUUGUGGGGUCCCUGCUGCCCCCCUGCCCAGAUUCUCAGGCUUCUUGAUCUUCUUAUAUUUCGGAAAAAAUCUUUUUGGCAGUUUCGUUCCGUUUGGACUCCGUUUAAAAUCCUCCUCUGAAAAGGGUCAAAAACAUGGAAAAAACAGGAACUGGCACUUGUCACUGAGUUAAUAAGUUAGUCCCAAAAAAUAUAUAAAAGGCAUACAAAACAUCCAAAGUUUGACAAGAUAAUAGCAUGAAACCAUCAAAAAUUAUAGAUACGUUGGAGAUGUAUUAACCUACGAGGUUUGUAGUAACUUGAUCCGAAGCUCUAAUGAUCACUAUCAUCAGCUUCCACUUCAAUUGGUGUAGGCGUCACAGGAACAACUUCCUGCGCCCUGCUACACACUGGUUGAAGUGACGGUUCAAUAACCUCAUCAAGUUCCACCAGUCUCCCACCCAAUUCUUUGGAGAGAAACCUUUCCUCGAGAAAGGAUCCGUUUCUAGAAACAAACACUUUGCUUCCGGAUCUGAGAUAGGAGAUGUAUCCAACUGUUUUGGAUAUCCUAUGAAGAUGCAUUUAUCCGCUUUGGGAUCGAGCUUAUUAGACUGAAACCUUUUCACAUAAGCAUCGCAACCCCAAACUUUCAAGAAACGACAGCUUAGGUUUCUCUAAACCAUAGUCUAUGGCGUGUCAUCUCAACGGAAGUAUGCGGUGCCCUAUUUAAAGUGAAUGUGGUUGUCUCUAAUGCAUAACCCAUAAACGAUAGUGGUAAUUCGAUAAGAGACAUCAUAGUAUGCACCAUAUCAUAAUAGGGUGUGGCUAUGACGUUCACACACAUCAUCACACUAUGGUGUUCCAGGUGGCAUGAACUGCGAAACAAUUUUCACAUUGUCUUAACUGCGUACCAAAAACUCGCAACUCAGAUAUUCAUCUCUAUGAUCAUAUCGUAGACAGUUUAUCCACUUGUCACAACGAUCUUCACUCUGAAAUAGCUUUGAACUUUUCAAUAUUUCAGACUUGUGAUUCAUCAAGUAAAUACUCGUGUAUCUACUCAAAUCGUCAGUGAAGUAAGAACAUAACGAUAUCCACUGCGUGCCUCAGCACUCAUUGGACUGCACACAUCAAAAAUGUAUUACUCCCAACAAGUUACUCUCUUGUUUCAUGUAGCAUGAUCUGCAUGUCUCAAGUGAUUCAAAAUCAAGUGAGCCCAAACGGUCCAUCCGCAUGGAGUUUCUUCAUGCGUUUAUACCAACAAGUAUGGUUUGCAUGUUUCAAUCGUUUCAAAAAAUGAGUGAGUACAAAGAUCCAUCAGCAUGGAGCUUCUUCAUGCAUUUUAUACCAACAUGACUCAAGUGGCAGUGCUACAACUAAGUGGUACUAUCAUUAUAACUUUGUAUCUUUUGGCACCAAUAUUAUGAACAUGUGUAACACUAUGAUCGAGAUUCAAUAAACCAUUGAGGGUAAUUAUUCAAGCAAAUAGAAUAACUAUUAUUCUCUUUAAUUGAAUAAUUGUAUUGCAAUGAACACGAUCCAAUCAUGUUCAUGAUUAACGCAAUCACCAAAUAACAAUUAUUUAAGUUUUACCACCAAUCUGGAUGAUAGAGGGAGCGUGCGAUGUUUGAUCACAUCAACCUUGGAAACACUUCCAACACGUAUUGUCACCUCGCCUUUAGCUAGUCUCCGUUUAUACCGUAGCUUUCAUUUCGAGUUACUAAUCACUUAGCAACCGAACCGGUAUCGAAUACCCUCGUGCUACUAGGAGUAAAGUACACAUCAAUAUCAUGCAUAUCAAAUAUACUUCUGUCGACUUUGCCAGCCUUCUUAUCUACCAAGUAUCUAGGGUAGCUCCGCCUCACUGACCGUUCCCCUCAUAACAGAAGCACUCAGUCUCGGGUUUGGGUUCAAUUUUGGGUUUCUUCAUUAGAGCAGCAACUUGUUUGCCGUUUCAUGAAGUAUCCCUUCAAGCCCUUACCCUUCUUGAAACUAGUGGUUUUACUAAGCAUCAACAAUUGAUGCUCCUUCUUGAUUUCUACUUUCACAGUGUCAAACAUUGCAAAUCACUCAAGGAUCAUCAUAUCUAUCCUUGAUUUGUUUAUAGUUCAUCACGAAGCUCUAGCAGCUUAGUCGCAGUGACUUUGGAGAACCAUCACUAUCUCAUCUGGAAGAUUAACUCCCACUUGAUUCAAGCGAUUGUUGUACUGAGACAAUCUGAGAACAUGCUCAACGAUUUGAGCUUUUCUCCUUUACUUUGUAGGCAAAGAAUCUUGUCGGAGGUCUUAUAUCUCUCAACAAGGGCACGAGCAUGAAAUCUCAAUUUCAUCUCUUUGAACAUCUCUUAUGUUCUGCGAUGUUUUCAAAACGUCUUCAGUGCCUUGCUUCUAAGCCAUUAAGUAUUGCGCACUGAACUAUUAUGUAGUCAUCAAAGACGUGUAUGUCAGAUGUUUGCAGCAUCCACAAACAACACCUGAGGUGCAGCACACCAAGUGGUGCAUUAAGGACAUAAGACUUCUGCGCAACAAUGAGGACAAUACUCAGUUUUACGGACUGAGUCCGCAAAGUUGCUACUAUCAACUUUGAACUAAAUUUUCUCUAGGAACAUAUAAAAACAGUAGAGCUAUAGCGCAAGCUACAUCGUAAUUUGCAAAUACCAUUGGACUAUGUUCAUGAUAAUUAGUUCAAUUAAUCAUAUUACUUAAGAACUCCCACUCAAAAAGUACAUCUCUCUAGUCAUUUGAGUGGUACAUGAUCCGAAUCCACUAUCUCAAGUCCGAUCAUCACGUGAGUCGAGAAUAGUUUCAGUGGCAAGCAUCUCUAUGCUAAUCAUAUCAACUAUACGAUUCAUGCUCGACCUUUCGGUCUCUUGUGUUCCGGGGCCAUGUCUGCACAUGCUAGGCUCGUCAAGUUUUACCCGAGUGUUCCGCGUGUGCAACUGUUUUGCACCCGUUGUAUGUGAACGUUGAGUCUAUCACACCCGAUCAUCACGUGGUGUCUCGAAUCAACAAACUGUAGCAACGGUGCAGAGUCGGGGAGAACACAAUUUCGUCUUGAAAUUUUAGUGAGAGAUCACCACAUAAUGCUAUCGUCGUUCUAAGCAAAAUAAGGUGCAUAAAAGGAUUAACAUCACAUGCAAUUCAUAAGUGAAUGAUAUGGCCAUCAUCACGUGCUUCUUUAUCUCCAUCACCAAAGCAUCGACAUGAUCUUCUUGUCACCGGUGCCACACCAUGAUCUCCAUCAACGUGUCGCCAUCGGGGUUGUCGUGCUACUUAUGCUAUUACUACUAAAGCUACGUCCUAGCAAUAUACUAAACGCAUCUGCAAACACAAACGUUAGUUUAAAGACAACCCUAUGGCUCCUGCGGGUUGCCGUACCAUCGACGUGCAAGUCGAUAUUAACUAUUACAACAUGAUCAUCUCAUACAUCCAAUAUAUCACAUCACGUCAUUGGCCAUAUCAUAUCACAAGCAUAUCCUUCGAAAACAAGUUAGACGUCCUCUAAUUGUUGUUGAAUGUUUUACGUGGUUUCAAUGGGUAUCUAGUAGAUCGCAUCUUACUUACGCAAAAACCACAACGCAGAUGUGCAAAUUGCUAUUUAUCCUCUCCAGGGACCGCCUCGGUCAAAACCAAUUCAACUAAAGUUGAAGAAACCGACACCCGCCAGUCAUCUUUAUGCAACGAGGUUGCAUGUCAAUCGAUGAAACUAGUCUUUUGUAAGCAUACGAAUAAUGUCGGUCCGGGCCGCUUCAAUCCAAAAAUACCGCCAAAUUGAGAAAAGACUCAGGAGGGCAGCAAAUCGAACAUCACCGUCCAGAAAACCCUUUGUGUUCUACUCGAGAUUACAUCUACGCAUGAACCUAGCUCAUGAUGCCUAUGUUGGGGAACGUCGCAUGGGAAACAAAAAAUUUCCUACGCGCACGAAGACCUACCGUGGUGAUGUCCAUCUACGAGAGGAGAUUUGGAUCUACGUACCCUUAAAGAUCGCACAGCAGGAAGCGUUAAGAAACGCGGUUGAUGUAGUGGAACGUCCUCACGUCCCUCGAUCCGCCCCNNNNNNNNNNUCCGUCCCACGAUCCGCUCCGAUCUAGUGCCGAACGGACGGCACCUCCAUGUUCAGCACACGUACAGCUCGACGAUGAUCUCGGCCUUCUUGAUCCAGAAAGUAAGACGAAGAAGUAGAUGAGUUCUCCGGCAGCGUGAAGGCGCUUCGGUGGUGGUUGCUACGACAACAAAAGUUCUUCCCCGGCAAUGGCGCCAGAAAUCCUUCUUGCUACUUCUCAAACAACAACGCCAAAAUUGACACGUUGACGGAGACUUGCUUGCGUCGGUUUUUGCCUUGAAGAGGAAAGGGUGAUGCAGCACAGGAGCAGUAAGUAUUUCCCUCAGUUUGAGAACCAAGGUAUCAAUCCAGUAGGAGAAUCUCGUCAAGUCCAGAGUACCUCCACAAACAUAAAGAUCUUGCACCCAAUGCUAUAAAGGGGUUGUCAAUCCCUUCAAGAUUGAUUGCAAAGUGAGAUUUGAAGGCGGAAAGUGCAACGAAGUAAAAUUGUAAGGCUAAAAAUAUGGUGUGGAGUAGACCCCGGGGCCAUAGUGUUCACUAGAGGCUUCUCUCAAAAUAGCAAAUAUUACAGUGGGUGAACAAAUUACUGUCGAGAAAUUGAUAGAACCGCGCAAAGUCAUGACGAUAUCUAAGGCAAUGAUCAUACAUAUAGGCAUCACGUCCGAGACAACUAGACCGAUACUUUCUGCAUCUACUACUAUUACUCCACACAUCGACCGCUAUCCAGCAUGCAUCUAGUGUAUUGAGUUCAUGACGAACAGAGUAACGCCUUAAGCAAGAUGACAUGAUGUAGAGGGAUAAUCUCAAACCAAUGAUGAGAACCCCAUCUUUUUACCCUCGAUGGCAACAACACGAUGCGUGCCUCGCUACCCCUUCUGUCACUGGGUGAGGUCACCACACGGUAUGAACCCAAAACCAAGCACUUCUCCCAUUGCAAGAAUCAUCGAUCUAGUUGGCCAAACAAAACCCACAACUCGAAGAGAAUUACAAGGAUAUGAAAUCAUGCAUAAGAGAGAUCGGAAGAAACUCAAAUAAGACUCAUAGAUAAUCUGAUCAUAAAUCCACAAUUGAUCGAAUGUCGACAAACACACCGCAAAAGAAGAUUACAUCGGAUAGAUCUCCAUGANNNNNNNNNNNNNNNNNNNNNNNNNNNNNNNNNNNNNNNNNNNNNNNNNNNNNNNNNNNNNNNNNNNNNNNNNNNNNNNNNNNNNNNNNNNNNNNNNNNNNNNNNNNNNNNNNNNNNNNNNNNNNNNNNNNNNNNNNNNNNNNNNAUACUAGCUAUGGACCCGUAGGUCUAUGGUGAACUACUCACGCAUCAUCGGAGAGGUCAUGGUGUUGCUGAAGAAGCCCUCUGUAUCCGAAUCCCCCCUCCGACAGGGCACCGGAACGUGCCCCAGAUGGGAUCUUGUAGAGACAGAAGCUUGCGGCGGCGGAAAAGUACUUUCGAUGAUCUCCUGAUUUUUUUCUGGGAUUUUAGGGAAUUUAUAGGCGAAAGUCCUAGGGCAGAGCUGGCCCAAGGAGCCCACAAGCCUGGGAGGCGCGGGCCCCCUGGUCGCGGCUAGGGGGCUUGUGGGGUCCCUGCAGCCCCCCUGCCCUGAUUCUCAGGUUUCCCGAUCUUCUUCUGUUUCAGAAAAAAUCUUUUUGACAGUUUCAUUCCGUUUGGACUCCGUUUAAAAUCCUCCUUUGAAAGGGGUCAAAAACAUGGGGAAAUAGGAACUGGCACUGAGUUAAUAAGUUAGUCCCAAAAAGUAUAUAAAAGGCAUGCAAAACAUCCAAAGUUUGACAAGAUAAUAGCAUGAAACCAUAAAAAUUAUAGAUACAUUGGAUACGUAUCAAGCAUCCCCAAGCUUAACUCCUGCUCGUCCUAAAGUAGGGAAGUGAUAAAGAAUUAAAUUUUGAUGUGGAAUGCUACCUAGCAUAGUUGUCCUUUGCAACUUCUUUCAUGUGACAUGAGUGUUCAGAUCCGUGAGAUUGAAAACAAUAGUUUGCUAUUGACAUGAAAACAAUAAUACUUCAAGCAAACUAGCAAGGUAAUCAUGAACUUUAAAAAUAACAAGGCCAAGGAAAGUUAUCCCUACAAAAUUAUAUAGUCUGGCUAUGCUCCAUCAUCCUCACACAACUAAUGUAAAUCAUGCACAACCCCGGUAUUGGCCAAGAAAUAGUUUUCGCACUCUUACUUUCUCAAACUUUUUAUAACUAUCAUGCAAUACAUGAGCGUGAGCCAUGGAUAUAGCACUAUAAUUGGAAUAGAGUGUGGUGGUGGUUGUGAGACAAAAAGGAGAAGAUGGUCACAUUGACUCUGCGUAUCAAAGGGCUAUGGAGAUACCCAUUAAUAGAUAUCAAUGUGAAUGAGUAGGGAUUGCCAUACAAAGGAUGCACUAGAGCUAUAAGUAUGUGAAAGCUCAAAAGGAAAACUAGUGGGUGUGCAUCCAACUUGCUUUCUCACGAAGACCUAGGGCAAUUUUGAGGAAACCCAUCAUUGGAAUAUACAAGCCAAGUUAUAUAGUGAAGAUUCCAACUAGCAUAUGGUGGUGACGAAACGAGAGGCUCUCAAUCAUGAAGAACAUGGUGCUAUUAUGAAGCACAAGUGUGGAAAAAGAUAGUAGCAUUGUCCCUUCUCUCUUUUCUCUCUUCUUCUUUUUUAUUUGGGCUCUUAGGCCUCUUUUUCUCUUUUUUUGGGCUCUUUGGCCUCUUUUUUUAUUUUAUUUCCUCACAUGGGACAAUGCUCUAAUAAUGAUGAUCAUCACACUUUUAUUUACUCACAGCUCAAAGCUUAGAAAUGACUUCUAUAGGAAAUGCCUCCGGCAGUGUACCGGGAUGUGCAACGAUCUAGCUUGGCGUAUGACGUUGAAACAUAUCGCUAGCUAUCUUGCGAUCAUGCAAUGGAAAUAUGAGAGUGACGGCACAAGUCAUGAGACGGAACGGUGGGAGUUGCAUGUCAAUAUAUCUCGGAAUGGCUACGAAAAUGCCAUAGUAGGUAGAUAUGGUGGUUGUUUUGAGGAAGGCAUUUGGUGGGUUUGUGUACCGGCGAGAAUUGCACGGCACUAGAGAGGCUAGCAAUGGUGAAAGGUGGAAGUGCAUCUAUACCAUGGACUCACAUUAGUCAUGAAGAACUCACAUACAUGUUGCGAAAUUUUUUAUUAGUAAUCGAAACAAAGUGCUAAACGCAUACUCCUAGGGGAAGGGUUGGUAGGUGUUAACCAUCGCACGAACCCGACCUCAACACAAAGGAUGACAAUCAAUAGAUCAAUUAUGCUUCGACUUCCUAACAUAGCGGUUCACCAUACGUGCAUGCUACGGGAAUCACUAACUUUAACACAAGUAUUUCUAGAUUCACAAUACCCUACUAACAUAACUCUUAAUAUUACCAAAUCCACGCCUCCAAACUAAUUGAGAGGAAUCAAAACUUCUCUUUCUACUCAAUGCACAUGAAUAUGGAGGUUUUUGUAUCCUCUUUGGGUACCUAUCACCUUUGGGACUACUUUCAUAGCAUAAGCCAACUACCAAAUCACGCACCGCCGUGCUCUAACAGAUCUAAGUGAAGCACAUAUAGCAAAAUUGUCUAGCUGAAAAGAUAUAAGUGAAGCACAAUGAGCAUUCUAGCAAAAUCACGGUGAGUUCAUGUCUAUCUCUAAAGGUGUGCAUCAAGGAUGAUUGUGACACAACAAAAAGAAAAUAAUCCUAAGAUACAAGACACUCCAAGCAAAACACAUAUCAUGUGGUGAAUAAAAAUAUAGCUCCAAGUAAUGUUACCGAUGGAUUGAAGACGAAAGAGGGGAUGCCUUCCCGGGGCAUNNNNNNNNNNNNNNNNNNNNNNNNNNNNNNNNNNNNNNNNNNNNNNNNNNNNNNNNNNNNNNNNNNNNNNNNNNNNNNNNNNNNNNNNNNNNNNNNNNNNGGAUGCCUUUGCGGCCUGUGUUCGUUUAUGAUGGACUAGUUGGAGCACCCCUGCAGGGUUUAAUCUUUCAGAAAGCCGUGCCCACGGUUAUGUGGCAACUUGGAAUAUUUUGUUAACAUCCGGUAUUAGAGAACUUGAACAUAAGCUAAUAAAAUUGCCAACUGUGUGCGUAUCCGUGUCUGUCCCCUCGAAGAUCCCUCUUCGAUCGGGAACACGGUGGGGUUAUGAAUGCCGUAGGUAGGUGGUCAGGAUCACUUAGUGAUCAAGUAUUCCCGACCGCUAGUGUAGACCACCUUCACAAUUACUUCGCGUAAGUUAGCCACUUAAUCAAGCUUAGGAUGCUGCAGCCUUAUACACUUCACCCUUACCCUACCUAAUAACAUGACUAGUUCUGGCACCAAGGUCUUAGAUUGCUGAGUCCCCGUGGCUCACGGAUUCCUCCGAAACUCCCAGCAGGUACAGGUACCCCAGAUAUAGAUGAUCCCGACGGCACCCAGCUGGCGUGGCAGUACGACGAGGAGACAGACCGCCUCUACGUGACCUAUCCAGGGGACUGAGGCGUGGUCGUGAUCGUGGGCCUGCAGGCAGGGUAGCAUAGCAUUUCCAUGUUUUGUAGUCCGUAGCGGAACUACNNNNNNNNNNNNNNNNNNNNNNNNNNNNNNNNNNNNNNNNNNNNNNNNNNNNNNNNNNNNNNNNNNNNNNNNNNNNNNNNNNNNNNNNNNNNNNNNNNNNAAAAAAAAGAGCAGGUGGGAAAAGGGGGAAGGACUCCUCCUUCCAAACCUAAUUGGACUCGGUUUGGAAGGGGAGGGUUGCCCCCCUUGGCUCGGCCGCCCCCUUGGGAGUCCUUGGACCCCAAGGCAAGGCUCCCCCUCCUCCCCCUAUAUAUACGCAGGUUUUAGGGCUGAUUUGAGACAACUUUGCCACGACAGCCCGACCACAUAUCUCCACGGUUUCACCUCUAGAUCGCGUUUCUGCGGAGCUCGGGCGGAGCCCUGUGAGAUAAGAUCACCACCAACCUCCGUAGCUCCGUCACGCUGGCGGAGAACUCAUCUACCUCUCCAUCACUCUUGCUGGAUCNNNNNNNNNNAGUUUCACCUCUAGAUCGCGUUUCUGCGGAGCUCGGGCGGAGCCCUGCUGAGAUAAGAUCACCACCAACCUCCGGAGCGCCAUCACGCUGGCGGAGAACUCAUCUACCUCUCCAUCACUCUUGCUGGAUCAAGAAGGCCGAGAUCAUCGUCGAGCUGUACGUGUGCUGAACGCGGAGGUGCCGUCCGUUCGGCACUAGAUCGUGGGACUGAUCGCGGGACGGUUCGCGGGGCGGAUCGAGGGACAUGAGGACGUUCCACUACAUCAACUGUGUUCACUAAUGCUUCUGCUGUGCGGUCUACAAGGGUACCUAGAUCGAACAUCCCCUCUCGUAGAUGGACAUCACCAUGAUAGGUCUUCGUGCGCGUAGGAAAUUUUUUGUUUCCCACGCGACGUUCCCCAACAGUGGCACCAUGAGCUAGGUUCAUGCGUAGAUGUCUUCUCGAGUAGAACACAAAAGUUUUUGUGGGCGGUGAUGUGCGUUUUGCUGCCCUCCUUAGUCUUUUCUUGAUUCCGCGGUAUUGUUGGAUUGAAGCGGCUUGGACCGACAUUACUCGUACGCUUACGAGAGACUGGUUUCAUCGUUACGAGUAACCCCCUUUGCUCAAAGAUGACUGGCAAGUGACGGUUUCUCCAACUUUAGUUGAAUCNNNNNNNNNNNNNNNNNNNNNNNNNNNNNNNNNNNNNNNNNNNNNNNNNNNNNNNNNNNNNNNNNNNNNNNNNNNNNNNNNNNNNNNNNNNNNNNNNNNNUGGGAUCUUGUAUUACGGAACGAGUAAAGAGACUUGCUGGUAAACGAGAUUGAAAUAGGUAUGCGGAUACUGACGAUUGAAUCUCGGGCAAGUAACGUACCGAAGGACAAAGGGAAUGACAUACGGGAUUAUACGAAUCCUUGGCACUGAGGUUCAAACGAUAAGACCUUCGUAGAAUAUGUAGGAUCCAAUAUGGGCAUCCAGGUCCCGCUGUUGGAUAUUGACCGAGGAGUCUCUCGGGUCAUGUCUACAUAGUUCUCGNNNNNNNNNNNNNNNNNNNNNNNNNNNNNNNNNNNNNNNNNNNNNNNNNNNNNNNNNNNNNNNNNNNNNNNNNNNNNNNNNNNNNNUGGGUCAUGUCUACAUAGUUCUCGAACCCGCAGGGUCUACACACUUAAGGUUCGACGUUGUUUUAUGCGUAUUAGAGUUAUAUGGUUGGUUACCGAAUGUUGUUCGGAGUCCCGGAUGAGAUCACGGACGUCACGAGGGUUUCCGGAAUGGUCCGGAAACGAAGAUUGAUAUAUAGGAUGACCUCAUUUGAUUACCGGAAGGUUUUCGGAGUAACCGGGAAUGUACCGGGAAUGACGAAUGGGUUCCGAAGUUCACCGGGGGGGCAACCCACCCCGGGGAAGCCCAUAGGCCUUGAGGGAGGCACACCAGCCCUUAGUGGGCUGGUGGGACAGCCCAAAAGAGCCCUAUGCGCCAUAGAGAUAAAAAUCAAAGAGAAAGAAAAAAAAAGGGAGGUGGGAAGGAAGGGAAGGACUCCCUCCCACCAAACCAAGUCCAACUCGGUUUCGGGGGGGAGUCUUCCCCCCUUGGACUCGGCCGACCCCCUUGGGGCUCCUUGAGCCCCAAGGCAAGGUCCCCUCCCUCCCACCUAUAUAUACGGAGGUUUUAGGGCUGAUUUGAGACGACUUUUCCACGGCAGCCCGACCACAUACCUCCACGGUUUUUCCUCUAGAUCGCGUUUCUGCGGANNNNNNNNNNGGCGGAGCCCUGCUGAGACAAGAUCAUCACCAACCUCCGGAGCGCCGUCACGCUGCCGGAGAACUCUUCUACCUCUCUGUCUCUCUUGCUGGACCAAGAAGGCCGAGAUCAUCGUCGAGCUGUACGUGUGCUGAACGCGGAGGUGCCGUCCGUUCGGUACUAGAUCGUGGGACUGAUCGCGGGAUUGUUCGCGGGGCGGAUCGAGGGACGUGAGGACGUUCCACUACAUCAANNNNNNNNNNNNNNNNNNNNNNNNNNNNNNNNNNNNNNNNNNNNNNNNNNNNNNNNNNNNNNNNNNNNNNNNNNNNNNNNNNNNNNNNNNNNNNNNNNNNCGGACCGUCGCCGUUGCACGUCGAACGACGCGGAACGCCGCCGCUCGCUCCGUCCACCGGUCGCCUCCCUCCGUCCUCGGAACCAGGCGCCGCCGCCGUCCUCCGAACCCGACCGAGGCCGGCGCCGGCCGGCGCCCACUCGACCCCCGAGAACCACGUCCAGGGUCGACCUCCGAGGCGCCACUUGGCCGCGGGCAGGCUGCGCUGGCUCCGGGCUCCGGGCGCGGGGGCGGGCGAGCGGCUGCUAGGCGGAGGACGAAGAGGAGGAGGAGGAAGACUUGACGAGGGCGGAGAGCCAGACGACGACGACGUUGAUGGAGAUGGUCACGUACGGCCUAGCGUCCACGGAGAAGUUGAAGCUGAAGUAGGACGCUCCCGGCGCCGAGGAAGAUGCCGCCAUCUCCAUGUCCAUGGUCUCUGUCUGUGGUAUGCCUGUCUCCUCUGCUCUUGCUGCCUUGGUGCUUCUUGCUUGCCUCUGGGAUGAGAGUUGUCGCUGGUCGCUGCGUGCUGGAUGCUAUUUGCAGAGCACGAAGGCUUGGCAUAUAUAGCUUGGUAGCCUCGCGAUAAGGCGCGAAACAAGUUGGAAGCGGGAUCGKACCCGUUGCGACUUGGGAAGAAGGAAAGCCGGGAGCGAAGAAGGUUCCCGGAAGCGGGGAGGCGUGGUGGAAACGCCGGACCAGACCGAGCGGUCGCCGGUUCGUGGCUUGUGAAAGUGAUGGAGCUGUCGUGCGCGCGCGCGCGGGGGUGUUUUUCAGCGGGUUUCGAGGGAGCUUCGCGGCGUGGAAACAUGCGCACCGGCGACCUGACCGUCCUGCUUUCUCGUGUUCUCGGUUGGGGUUGGCGUUGGAAUUCCACGCAGCCUCUCUCUCUCCUAUUUUAGUGGGCACGUCGCUCUCGUUUCGUCUGUGGUGCAGCCGCUCGUCUGCUACUCUUUCCGUUGUCGGGUUUCCUCCUGGUUGAUUUUCUUUUUGCGACUGAAUUCUGAUUUGAUUUUGAUAGAUAUAUGUGCGGUGGUGGACUGGUCGCAGGGAGCUGGGGGUGGUAUACGGCGACCGGUGUGAAGGAAGGUUGGUGAGUUGGCUGGCGAGCGCUUGACCAGAUUUCGUGGUGGACUCGACCAAACCAAACCAAACAGUGGCGUAGGUCUUUGCGCCAGCGGGCGUGAGGGAAUGCUUGCUCGUGCCCCCACCACCGGGUCGUCUCCGAUGACUGAGGUGUUUACACGCGACAGAGGUGCUAAUUAUGUGUGCUGCCGGCUGCAUAUAGAUCGAUAUACGCUAAAUGGAAACAUGACAACAAAACGUACGUUUGCCCGCACAAACCUUCCUGGACGGCAUGUUUGUCUCACGCUACUUUUCAUCCUUUGUUUUACAAAUUUGAAAUCUGAAGCUACAUUUCUUUUAAACACGAUAUAGAUGCAAGAGCUCAUAUAUAAGAGCAACUCUAGCAUACCCCGCAUCCCGUCGGCCCGUAAAACGCGUUUGCAGGUCGCGCAAAACAGCUUUUGCAGGCUGGCGUGGGCUGGCACAGAUGCGGACCCACCAAACGGAUCCGUAAAAAAAUAUAGUCGCGAAAUAUUCCUUUUUACGGGUCGGCUUUGCGGGAUCUGCUCUUUGCACCGCUGCUUCCCACGUAUCAUUAGCCCGCAAAUAUCAAAUACUCCCUCUGUAAGUUAAUAUAAGAGCAUUUAGACUACUAAAGUAGUGUUCUAAAUGCUCUUAUAUUAGUUUACGGGGACAUAAUUCAACAGCCGAAAACAAACUGAAUUAUUCGAAUCAAACACAAUACAAUAAUCAUCCGCAUUACAAACAAUUAUUCAAAACAUGUCAUGAAUACAAAUACAAAUGAAUACAAAAAUAAGUCACUGUCCAGCCAUUUGCCAAUGGUGUUCAAUGAGAUCUUUCUGAAGUUGAAAGUGGGUGUGUGGGUUUUCAAUCUCCUUGUCUGUCUGAAGAAAAGCUCUAAUGCGGUUUGGGUCUCUAGCUGGUUUAACACGGCUACCCACAUUGUCGUAAAAGAAUUCUAAGUUCCCAAGAUUCCUCGCAAGCUUGAACAAUUUUCACAAAGAGGGAUCGACGCAUUCCUUCUUUGAGUAAAUUACCGGCAAUUUUCCUCGCAAGCUUGAACAAUUUUCACAAAGAGGGAUCGGCGCAUUCGGUACCUUCUCCGGAAGAGGUGUGGAGGAUAUGUAGGAUGUUGGGGAACGUCGCAUGGAAAACAAAUUUUUUCCUACGCGCACAAAGACCUAUCAUGGUGAUGUCCAUCUACGAGGGGGAUUUCAGAUCUACGUACCCUUGUAGAUCGCACAGCAGAAGCGUUAAUAAACGCGGUUGAUGUAGUGGAACGUCCUCACGUCCCUCGAUCCGCCCCGCGAACCGUCCCACGAACCGUCCCGCGAUCUGUCCCACGAUCCGCUCCGAUCUAGUGCCGAACGGACGGCACCUCCGCGUUCAGCACACGUACAGCUCGACGAUGAUCUCGGCCUUCUUGAUCCAGCAAGAGAGACAGAGAGGUAGAUGAGUUCUCCGGCAGCAUGACGGCACUCCGAAGGUUUGUGGUGAUCUAAUCUCAGCAGGGCUCCGCGCGAGCUCCGCAGAAACGCGAUCUAGAGGAAAAACCGUGGAGGUAUGUGGUCGGACUGCCGUGGAAAAGUUAUCCCAAAUCAGCCCUAAAACCGCCGUAUAUAUAGGUGGGAGGGGAGGGGCCUUGCCUUGGGGCUCAAGGAGCCCCAAGGGGUUCGGCCGAAGGGGGGAGGAGGAGUCCUCCUCCAAUCCUAGUCCAACUAGGAUUGGAAGGUGGAGUCCUUCCCUUCCUUCCCACUUCCACUUUUUUCUCUUUGAUUUUCUUAUCUCCCUGCGCAGGGGCCUCUCUGGGCUUGCCCACCAACCCACUAAGGGCCGGUGCGGCACCACUAAGGCCUAUGGUCUUCCCCGGGGUGGGCUCGNNNNNNNNNNNNNNNNNNNNNNNNNNNNNNNNNNNNNNNNNNNNNNNNNNNNNNNNNNNNNNNNNNNNNNNNNNNNNNNNNNNNNNNNNNNNNNNNNNNNCUAAAAAAAGGGUUACUUUUAGUUUUGUAAAACAAAUUUUUAGGUAAUGUUACCUUUUCUAUAAUUUUUACUGAAAUUACUAAAACAAUAAUUACAGUUUUUCUAAAAAAAAUAGUUUUGAAAUUUUGAAAAAAUUAGGUUUAACUUUUUCAUUUUUUUAAGGUAGUUUUAMAAAWARUUACCAAAUUWCARWAAHAAUUUAAAAAAAAUAAAAAAAAUAAAAACAAAGAACAAAAAGGGUAAAAGGGAAAGAAAAUAAAAGAAAGAAAAAAACAAACAAAAAAUCUAAAAAAGAUAAAAUACCAAAAACGUAGAAGAAACAGGAGGAACCUUCUAGGAGAAAAAACGACUGAGAAACUAUAGAAGGUUCCCCAAACCGGAAUGGUGCAACUUGUUAAUAGUCGGCCCAGGUGAUUACCAUAAAAUGGACACAAUUUUAAUUGUAGAUGUAACUAAUUCACAAAAUGAAUCGUGCAUGAAAAUUCACAUGCAUAUCUUCUUUGUGUGGCGCCCGGUUGUACAUCGUGUAGCAUUUGAUCUACAGGCGCUACACCUCUGAUAAGCGUGGCAUCCGAGGUUAUAAUUCUGAUUGUAUGAUGUUUAAAUGAAAGGAGUCACUCUACAUUAUAUGACACCCGCUGAAAGAAGCCACAUUAUUUUAUAUUAAAAUUGAUGUAACUUUUAAUCCUUGCAUCCGAUGAAAAUAUGUUUUAUAUGAAUAUUGUGUAUUUUUCUGUGUUCUACGCAAUGGUGUCAUUUCCAUCGAUGUUAAGAUCAAUUUUCUUGAUGAAAUCUCUGUUGCAAAAAUGCGUCAUAAUAUAAUUGAUCGGAUUUGUUAAGACUUACAAAGUUGACAUGAUGGUAGCCACUGACUUAUAGCUUUUAUGCAUUUGCAUUCUACAUGAGUUUUACCCUAUAUAAUGUGUAUGUUCACGUCAUGUUCAUGCUUGUCAUGUUAGUCAUCUUUAAUAUGUUCAUGUCUUGCAUCUAAGUGACUAACAUGAUAUAUUUUUUGUAAACAAUCUUAUGAAGCUUUAUUUAACUGAAAUCAAUGUUUACAGAAAUAAAUGCAGGAUCAUCGGGUUGCUUAACCACACAUGGUCGCCAACCCCUAGUCUGGUAACAUGCUUCGUUAUGGAUGGGCCAGUUCCAAACACAGUAGGCCCACUUCCACCUCGUAGCCGGGCUUAGUCAGGUCAGUCGUCCAUUGUAGGAUUUUCUUCCACCUGGUCUUCGCACCUCUGAGACGGGGAGAUGCGGAGGCCGUCGGCUUCGUCGCCUCCGGCGAGGGGACCGGCGUUGGCUGCAGCAGCCGCUGUCGUUCUCCUCCCGGCUAUUUUCCCCGCGCUGUUCUCCCCGCUCGGCCGCGCCUUCCCUUCCCUAUUCUCGGUGCGUCCCCUAUAGUCGCCAUCCUCCUCUCCAGGCGGCUCGAUUUGAGCCGGUGUAGCGUCAUAUUGGCGAUCUUCCGCUUCUCUAGCUGCUUCCUACGCCUCUCCUUGCUAGUUCGCCACUUUGCCGAGUCCGAUUGUUUGGGGUGGGCGAAAAUUGGAUAUAAUCUAGAGGGAUUGGUACUUUUGGGGGGAGGAAUGUAUGUGGAAGGUGAAAUGAUGUGGUGAAUUCGUGGCUUUGUCCCCUCUUGAAUUGGAACUAGUACGAAAUUACAUUUGUUUAUUUGGUGUAUAUGUAUGUCGAUGCAGAGUAACCUGUAAAUAAGCAAAGUGUGCAACCUGUAAAUAAGCGAAGUUUGCAAGAUCUGGAUUCUUUUGAUGGACAGCAUCAUGCCAGUUGCAUCGGAUAUUUUGGUUUGGACAGUGGUCUCCAAUGUGUGAUUACGAGUAGAUUUUUUUGUAUGCAUUUCGGGGCAGUGUGGGACGCUGGGACUGUACUCGGCUACCAUGAGCCAUGACAGUAUUGGGAAUAACAUGUGUACUGGAUUACUCUACUAUGGCUGUGAAGAUAGAUUGGCUACUGAUGUGGACCUUAGUAAAUAUUUCUGCAGACUGCAAUAUUGUCUUUUUAAGAUUAAUCAUGUGGACAGCGUGUAUACUGCAGGAGUGGAAUGCCCCUAAGCCAAUGCACGAGUCUCUUUUCAAUGAGUCUUUGCGAUGGACAAUAGUGAGUAUUCACAACUCAGAUAAAUACUGGAAAUAGUUAUGUUGAAGUCUAUUUGUAACUUACUCUCUGUACAGCCAGAUGAACAAAAAAGAGAUCUCUGGACACCCUUGCCUGAUCAGGGGUGGAAACCAUGCAUAAGGUCAUCGAUCACUCGUGGUAACAUUCUGUGAUAAAUCUGUUUAGGUAAUGAUAUGCCUCCCGCUGCGAUAGAUCACUAAGCAUUUGGUUAUAUGAAGUGUAGGGUUACCUUCACAACCCAGUGGGUACAUACAAGUAUUUCUUGAUGGUGGCCUGAACCAGCAGAGAAUGGGGGUAACUCACUUCUUAUGUACCAAACUCAUGAUGUUAGAUUUAAUAUAACUUGCUUGGUUGAAACUUCAGAUCAUCUGGCUCUUUCUUUUUGUUCUCUAGAUAUGUGAUGCAGUUGCGGUUGCUAAGAUUUUGAACGCUACUCUUGUGAUCCCACAUCUUGAAGUAAACCCUGUUUGGAAAGACUCAAGGUGCUUUUGGAGUUUCAGAGUACUACUGUAUCUUGUUAAUUUUAAAUACUCCUGUUAGAUUGGAAGUGAAAGGUUUAGUUUGGUCUGCAGCUCAUUUGGAGAUAUUUUUAAUGUGGAUCACUUCAUCAACACCCUAAGAGGCGAUGUUUCAAUAGUGAGAGCUCCAUUAAAAGAAUUUUCGUGGAGCACAAGAGAGUUCUAUAGCACAGGAAUACGUGCUACAAGAAUAAAAACUGCACCUCUUCAUGCCUCGGCUAAUUGGUAUAUAGAGAAUGUCAGUCCUAUCCUGCAAAGGUUUGUGAUUUUCUUGGCCAUAUAGUCGCUUCUCUAGACCCCUUGAGUAAGUGGCAUAAUAAUGCUAAGAAACUGCAGUUCAUGUUUAGCCCAGGUUGAUGGCCACUGAACUGGCUUUAUAGUAUUAACAUGACAACUCGUUGUCUAACUUCAUUAGUUGGUUACUCUGUGAGGGGAAUCCUUCACCGAAAAUCUCAUGCAAGCGUUGUUUCCCUUGUCAGCUAUGGCAUUGCUGCCAUUGCCCCCUUUUCUCACCGCCUUGCAUUCGAUGAUUUGCCUGUGGAUAUUCAACGCCUGCGCUGUAAAGUUAACUUUGAAGCCCUGGUUUUUGUGCCUUACAUUAUAUCACUGGGGAGGACCCUUGAGAAGCGCUUGAGAUCUCCAGUGCAGGGGCAUUCCACUGAAUUAACCCAACAAGUUGUAGAAGAUUACACAGAUCAGUCUGAAAAGUAUGCAGUUGUACAUCUCCGCUUCGAUAAGGUAAAUGGAAGGGCUUCUGCUAUAUUUGGAAGUCGUACGUGUAUAUUUUUGUUAUCUUCAAGGAAUUUCCACUCUGAAACAACUCAAGCUGACCUACAUUUUUCAGGAUAUGGCUGCACAUUCUGCCUGUGACUUUGGCGGUGGUAGAGCUGAAAAAUUAGCUCUGGCUAAGUACAGGCAAGUUAUCUGGCAAGGGAGGGUAUUAAAUUCACAGUUAAGUGAUGAGGAGCUUCGAAACACAGGACGCUGCCCGUUGACUCCAGAAGAGAUUGGAUUGAUACUAGUAGCGCUUGGCUUUGACAGCAAAACUCGAUUUUAUCUUGCCUCUCACAAGGUUUGACUCUCUGCCUCUGCCGGUGCGCUUACUUAUUCUCCGUAGUGGAAGCAGAAAUUUCUAACAUACGUCACCUAUUAAGGUAUAUGGAGGGGAAGCUAGGAUCUCUAGCUUGCGCAAGCUUUUCCCGCUGAUGGUAGACAAGAGGAGCCUUGCAUCGGCAGAUGAGCUUGCUAGUAUCGAAGGGAAGGCUUCUGUGCUAGCAGCUCUUGACUACCAUAUCAGCAUGCACAGCGAUGUUUUCAUCUCUGCUUCUCCUGGCAAUAUGCAUAAUGCACUGGUAAAUCCUGUUUGGCUUCAGCUGUAUUCGCUAGAUUUCUCCUCUUUCUUUAUUGGUCCUGACCAGAUGAUGGUUGAUUCAGCUGGCCCACCGGACCUAUAGGAAUCUGAAGACGAUAAGGCCAAACAUGACAUUGCUUGGCCACAUAUUUGUGAACAAGAGCAUGGAGUGGUCAGAGUUUCAGCAGGCUGUGCAGGCAGGCCACAAAGGUAGAUACGGGCAGAUCCGGCUGAGGAAGCCGAAGCAGUCUAUCUAUACUUAUCCUGCCCCAGAUUGUAUGUGCCCAGGGUAGAUCGCCAAGUUUUCUGCGGUGCACCGACAAAAGAAAUGUGCUGAGUUACUUGCAGUUUCUAAUUAGGUUAAGCUCAUGUGGAUAUGUAUAUUUAGUUCUGAAUUUUCGGUUGAAUCAGUUUGCUGCCACUUCCAAUAGGAUCUUAAAAUUUUAACCAAAAUUUACGCACUAUACGUUGAGCCUUGAAGGACUCUAAUCUUGUGCUGUUUGCACGAUCCAUACGACGAAGUUGUAGUUUUGGAGCUGAUGUUGUGUAUCUGUGACCUGACUUGAUAUACUGGAUCCUUUUUCUUCUUUUAUUCCGCUGUUCUACUUCUGGGAGUCCGGUGUUCUGAAUUUCUGCUUUGAUUUAGUAUUACUAUCGUCAUGGCGAAUUCGAUACUAAUGCUUCAAACUAGUAGUAUGUUUUGCCAUGUUUUAAAAUAACACGCAUGGGUGAUAUUACAAGUACAGCCUCCGUCGGAAGCCAUGGGCGAAUCCACAAGGACAAAGUUUCACCACCGGAACUUUAAGAUUACAACACGUUUUUGCACUGCCACCUACUCCUCCACACUUUGUACAUCCUCAGCACCCCAAAAUAAUAAUUCAGACCACCUGAAACCUCCUUGGUCGGUGAAAUCGACGGAUUUAUUGGCCGGAGAUGGUCUGGAUGAUGGUGUUGUGCCAUGGGUCGGCCAGGUGCUGCUGCAGGUUCUCGAACGGCCCCUUCCCGGUCACGUUGUGCUGCACCAGGAACCCCAGGAACGCCAGCAUGGCCAGUCUCCCUGAACGAAUGAACGCGCGCGCGAAUACAGAUUAACGAGAGCCGUCGGAUUAGAAACCCGAGGGUUCAGAUGAGACUGAAGAGAGGAUGGACGUACCGUUGGCGAGCUCCUUCUCCUUGUUCUCGAGGGUGGGGGCGAAGUUGAGGGGGUUGAAGACGCUGCCGGGGUAGCCGCACUCGUGGGGCGGGAGGCUGUAGCUCUUGAAGAUGGGGUCCUGGUUGACGGAGCCCGGGUUCUUGAUGUCCUGCCACCGCCGGAUCUCGACGUAGUGGAAGAGGAUGAACUCGAUGACGAAGAGCGUGGAGGAGGAGGCGAAGUAGGUCUCCUUGCCGGCGUCGUACCACUCGGGCGCGUUCAGCAGCCCCGCCUUGGUCAGCACCUCCGGGAUCAGCAUCCCCGCCACCCCCAGCAUCGCCCACCGCCCGUUCACCAGCUCCGCCUGCACGAACCACCGCAGGUCCUCCGGGUCCUCCGCCAGCGCCAGCGGGUCAAAACCAUUGUCACCCGCCAGACUGCACACGUAUCGUCCGUCAGUACGGUCGUAAACAUAUGUAACAGCUGCGUGCAUGGGCACGACGGAAGUGGUGUGGCGUGUCGUGUGGUCUGCUCACCUGCCGUCGAGGUAGGCAGGGGACUGGAGGCCGGGGAGCCAGGACCCCUUGGCCUGGACGGCGACGUCGCGGCGGGUGGACUUGGCGAGCCCGACGCGGCCGGAGUCGCCCAGGAACCGGGGGCUCGACGCUGACGCCGCCGGCCGGAGAGCGGCCACGGGAGCGCGGGCACUGACCGACGACAUCUUCUGCUACUCCUGACUAGAGAGCGCGUACGGCAGGAGAGUGAGAGUGCGCGCGUGUGUGUGUGGUGGUUCUGCCUCUCCGCACCUGCGCUUGGCCCUUUGUAUUGGGCUGCGCUUCGGUGAUUUGUGGGUGUGGUGAGCUGGGCCCCGGAGGUCGAGAUGGACGGCGUGUGUUGGCGCCACCGCGUCGUCCGACGGCUGCGAUGCGUUUGCGCCUGGAGACUGGAUAGAUGGACCAGUGGGAGACCGGGAGGCGUAUGUGCGUUAUCUGGAUGAUGGAUAAUGCGGAAUCAAAAGGGGGAUCGCUAUUGGUCGGGGAAACGCACGUUCGGUUUACCUGGCUGCCACGUCGAUCGGACGAUCCGUCAUGAUGUACAGCUGUACAUGGUGCCAUGGCGGGUUGGUCUGUUUGCUUCAACUUUCGAGCUCUUCCACGGGAAACCGGCUUUCGCCCUAGAAAUGGCACGGAUGGUCGAACGGAUACAAGGUGAUGGAAAGAACCCCAUAGAAGGCGGUCGCGGCGAGCCGUCACGAUCCCGUAAUCGAACAAGAAAAUAAGAGUCGCCACACCUAACAUGAGGCGACCUAGACUAUUGAAUCGGAACUCAACCGUGCCGCCUAGGAAAAUCAUAGACCAUUAUGCAUAAAACACAUCAAGUUAUCGCCGGAGAAAGUAAGUGUCGAUCCAAUCCGUGGAGUUCCAAUCCUGCGAGCAGAUAGCGAGGACCAAUGACAUUGACUACGAGGACACGUGUAAAUGAUAGGGGAUCAACGGAUCCACUCCACGACGAAGCCGAAGGCACCGAUGUGCUGUAACUGGAUGAUAUUUGUGUUCCCCGACAAUGCCCCGAGGAGGGUAAUGAUGUAGAGCGUUGAUACGUCUCCAACGUAUUUAUGGUGUUUUUAUUGUGUCAUGCUAUUAUAUUAUCAAUUUCGGAUGCUUUAUAUGCUAUUUUAUAUCAUUUUUAAGAACUAACCUAUUAACCGAGUGUCCAGUGUCAGUUCCUAUUUUUUGCGUGUUUUGACUUCUCAGAAAAUCAAUAACAAACGAAGUUCAAACAUGAUGAAACUUUAUGAUGAUUCUUUCUGGACCAAAAAGGGACCCCUAGAAGGUUCGGGAGGAGGCCAGAAGACGUAGGGAGAGCCACAAGCUCACAGGGUCGCCGCCCCCCCCCCCGGGGGGGGGGGUAGGGCCCCUUGAGCUCGUGACUCCCACAGAACUCAUUUUGACCUAAUUCCACCUCUAUAUAUUCCCAUAUAAUCCCAAACCAACAGAGAGACACCCGAAACACUUUUCCCACUGCCGCAAGACUUUGUUCUUCCGUGAUUCCAUGUGGAGGCCUUUCCGGUACUCUAGCAGAAGGUGAAUCGAUCAUGGAGUCCAUCUACAUCAACCUUGAUGUCUCCAUGAUGGUGCGUGAGUAGUUCACCACGGACAUACGGGUCCAUAGCUAGUAGCUAGAUGGCU
This 29649-nucleotide long non-coding RNA is filed under the name Hordeum vulgare. Its description in RNAcentral is "long non-coding RNA (HVUL_LNC013252)". Lineage: Eukaryota; Viridiplantae; Streptophyta; Magnoliopsida; Poales; Poaceae. The record is from RNAcentral.